This is an RNA transcript of Egretta garzetta (little egret), 6019 nucleotides long. It is a transcript of the gene named zinc finger protein 821, with no coding region annotated. The record is from RefSeq and is a predicted model, not a curated record. The transcript is spliced from 3 exons. NCBI's taxonomy places the organism in Eukaryota, Metazoa, Chordata, Aves, Pelecaniformes, Ardeidae.
UGAGCUCAGUCCCUUUGAGGGGUGCCUGCCUGGGCCGAGAUCUGACCCCCCCGUCCUGGCGGCUGCUGCCGCUGUGUCUGGAGCUGUGACCGCAGGGCAGCUGGUUCCCUUGUCUGCCUGGCCUGGGUUAUCCGGUGCCCGACGCCAGCCCUCUGGGCGUGGUGGGGCCCUGCGUCCCCUCAGUCUCUGGGUGGGCGGCCAGAGAUAGGGCAGAGUCUGCAGCCUUGGUUAGGCCCUUGCCCUCUCGGCCAUGGGAACGGGCAGGAGGGAGAAGGAUGCUUGGACUGAGAUUGCGGUCACUCUUGAAGUGGGGCAAUCUUAGCUUUUUGUAUACUGGGGACAGGAUUGCUUAUAACUUCACUUUAGAACUGGGUGUGACUGCCCAUGUGCGGUGGUUUGUGAAAUGCUGGUGGAUCGUGUGGGAUGCUGGCACUGAACGUGGCUGUGGUGAUGCAGAACGAGCCCUGUAGGCAGAAGGGUGGGGAGCGACCCUGAGACAGUCAGCUGUGUUUGGCCAGUUUCCCGUGCUGUGUGUGACAGGCUCUUCUCUUCUCAGGUGAGCCUGCUGCUGAGGGAACGGACACUCUGCUCCCAGGUCAGGGAAACAUGUCCCGCCGGAAACAGACCACUCCGAACAAAGUUCACUGGUCUGUAAGCCUGUGCAUCAGGGGAGCUGGCUGUGUCCUGGCAUGGCAGGACAGGGAUAGGCUUGAACAAACAACUAAUGCUGUAAAGGUAGGUGUGUAUAUGCAGGGCCUGUAGCUGUGCUUUGCAUUCACACUGUCACAAGUUCUAGUUAGUAUACUAAGAAACAUGACUUGGGGCUCUGGCCCGUCUUGGGUAGCAAAGGAGGUUCUAGGCAAGGUGAUUGGAGUGUGUGGUUGAAAGGUGGGAAGUCCUGGGUUCUGAUCUUUGCCCUACCACAAACCCACCUGACUGGCCUUGGACAUGUUACUUAAGCUCACUGUACCUCAGUUUCCUACCACAUAAUGUAAGUAAAGCCAUUUGCUCUUCUCUUGCAGGGAACGGGCAGUGGCUAAGCAAUUUACAGGACAGACAAAUGCUGUCUGCCAGAUCAUUCUUGAGCUGAGCUGAUAGGACAGAUCUCUGCUUCUCCAGGACUGUCAAGACCCUGGCUUUUGUUUGAUAAUGAAAGGGCUGAAGAUGCUGUACAUCAGCACUUCUUGUGGGGAGGCGACAGCGAGAUGUUAGUGGAGCUGGGAGACAUGUAUGGCUGUUUGGCUGCAAAGGGGAAACUGCACAUAUAUGGCUUUUGUUUGACUGAUUGCAGCACAGGGAAGCUGGGGGGUCUGAGGCUAUGCUCUUGUAUGUACCCAGCUUUGUGGCUGGAGACACGUUUGGAAUUCGGGCUGGAAUGAGGAAAGCAGAUUUCCACUUCUGUAGACAUGUGAAAACAAGGCUGAUGAGAGGGCCCUAGGUACUGCUAAGCUGUAGUAGCUGUCCGGAAUACAGGACAGAGAGCUGAAUGCUGCAGCCCUUAACACUGCCUCACUUUGCUGAUGCUGCUGGCUUGCAUGUCGCUGUGUGUUUCUCUGUGCUGACUUUUUGUAUGGGUACAGCAACAGGAAUCUAUGCAUGCUGUUCUCUCUACUAGAGGAAAAUACAUUGCGAUAUAGCCUAACACUUUGCACCCAGUGAGUGUACCGGGGAGAACUACCUCUGUCUGGGACUUGAAAGCCCCAUUGGCUGCUAGAGCUAGGCAUGGAAGUGCUGACAAACUUUUCCUCGGUGGCCAGUGGAAGAGUCUUGAGUCAUGGCUUUUGGCAUCUGCACUGACUCGUGCUCUCCAAUUCCUGCUUCUGGGCACUGGGCUCAACAGUGGGCAGAGUAUAGGUUUGAUUUGCCUGAUCGUACACACGUUAAUGACUUUGGGAUUGUCUUCCUUAGAGAAAUUUGAUAUGUCCUCUGUUUUGUCCUAUGAUGCCAGUAACACAUUUUGUCUCCACACACUUUUGCUUCUGAGAGUGCCCAGGUAUUACUGCUGCUGUUUAGAUCAGACCUAUGUAAGGCAUACACUUACGCCAUCUCCCCUGCUGUAGGGUCAUGGUCUCUCAUGCAUGGAAACCAAGGGGCACAACAGCUCUAAUGAUGCAGGUAGUUUCCAUGGUGUUUAGGUGGGCUGUUUUCUGCACUCUGCUGCGUGAGGGUUAUGUUCUUCAGAAGCCUGCGCUAUUAUGUACAAAACUAUACAUAUUAUGGAGUUCAGUUGUGCACUAUUUUCACAAUGAACAUUGCUUUUUUAUCUGCAAGACAAGUGAUUGUGUCUCCAGUUUUGGUCUUGGGGGAAGCUAUCUGGCAAACACGCUACCAGCGGGCAUGAGGUUGAGUUCAUGGCAUUUGGUAUGCCAUAGAGAGGAAUUCUGGGACCUGUUCACCUCCUUUACAUGCAGUACAUUGCUACAGAGCAACUAUUCAACAGGAGCCAUCAGGAGCAGCAAGUAGGACCACAAGAAAAUAAAGGGACUGAAAGAUACAAGAAACAUGUCAAUGGUGAUGUCUCCGCUUUGGGAUGGAAAAUCUUGUCUCUCAUGAUGAACACCACCAAAUCGUUGGGACUUCUCUGUCUACCUAGCCUGCUGUGUGUCUGGAGGGCCCAGAAAUGCCAUGCAGUGCACUGACGAGGAUAAUCGGAGAGAGCAUCAGCUCCAAGAACUGGGUGAGCCAGCAGAAUGAGGAGUCAGGCUGAGACAUAGCAGACACGUUACUGAGACUUCUUCACAGGGACUGAAGUGGUUGGGAGGAGAGGAAUAAAAGGGACAGCAGUAACCACUACAGCAGUGUGGACAACCCAGAAUAGCGAUGGGGCAGGUGGACUAGAUCCACAGUGGUGGAAAGACUUGCAAAUUUCAGGUCCAGGAAAGGAACACACAGAAGACCUACCUGACCAGGGACUCUAAAUUGAUGUACGAGGAGGGAAUAAAGUGGCUCGUCUCUGAGAGACCUUUCUGUUUAGGAAGGAAGACAGGGGAAUGGCGCAGUUUGUUUUGAUUCUUGUUUUGUGGAUUUGGGGGUGGGAGUUGUUUGUUUGUGUGUUUAUUUUCCAGAACACCCGAGAGUUUUCCUGCAUUCAUACAGUUCAAGGAGGGAAGGGCUCAGGACAAAAAAUCCUUUCUGGGCACCAGGCUGAUACUCCACCAGAACCUAGCAGCUGUAACUCCCCCUGCUGCACAGUACCCAGGGCUGCCCCCUACCUCCACAACUGCUCACCUGACAUCCCACUCAUUGACACGAUUAUGGAGAGGAGAACUGGAGUGCAAAGCAGAGGCAUUUGUGUGACCUUUCGCUGUCCUACGUCUCUAGCUGUUUGUAAAACACGAUGACUUGUUUUGGUUUUUGUGGUCAGCCUGCAGCCCUUUUUGUAUUUAAUAAAGAAACUUCUGGAGAAGAGUCUGUGAAUUCAAUACUGGGCAUAACAUCCUUCACUGAUAGCAGUGACCCUAAAGCUGUUGCCUGUCUUGCUCCCUUUCUAAACGAAUGUGAGUGUAUUCAAAGUGGGGUGGAGGCGGGGUGUAAGUGCCUGUAUGUGAGCACGUGUGUGCAGAAACAGCAAAUGUAUAACCCUGUACCUACCAAACAUUAAAGCUCUAAAGCUUCAUCAAAGUAGGACUUAGCCCAUCGGUAGAUGAACAGGACAGUCUUCCCUGAGUUCUUCUGGAGACAAUAGUAGUUUAAUACAUAAAAAAUUCUGUGUAAGCUAAAGAUAGCAUUUUGAAAAGUGUCUUUCCCAAUGCCAUGGUGCCUUUUAGGUACAGGCUAGCAGAGAAUGCACAAGAUGUUGUCUGCUAACAGCACCGGUCUGUUUAACAGUUUGCAUUUCUGGCUGUAAGCUGAUAGUUCUCUGCAGUGCACUGAAUCUGUGCUGCCUUGGCUCUGGGUAUGCUGUACAGAAAGGCCACUGGCAGACGUGAUCACUCUCUUUAGUUGUUGUGAUUGAUGCUAGCGUUGCUGAUGGGAGGAGUUCCCUCCUCAGUCGCCUCAUACAAAGAUCACAGCUUUUAAAAUCCUGCAGGCUGUCGCAUAGUGUGUGUAUCUGAGCAGGAACCUACCUGCCAUUAGACUCCAGGCUGCUGCUCAGUGGAAACGUAAGCCGUCUGGAAGGGGAAAGGGGGAAGAAAACAAACAUGUAACUGCGUCCACUAGCAGUGCCGUGGUGUUUGGGAGUCCUGUUUUGUAGCUCUAUCGCAGGCAGCACAUCUCCCACCAUAGCUUUACAUCUGUCCUGUGUUCUGCAGGUUUCCUCAUUUCACCAUACUUUCUCUUUGUCUUGCAAUGCUUCUUUGGUCUCUGGGCUUUUAUCCUGCAUAGAUAUCUGCUUCUUGGAGAGGUGCUGUAAUUCUGUAGCGUCUGCUGUUCAUACGGUCUGUAUCUCAGUCCCACCAAUGUGAGGUUGUGGUCCAGACAUAAAAGCAGCACUCCAGGUUAUGGAAACUAUUCGGUGCUGGAAUGGCUUCUGAUGUGUCACUGCAACCAUGACAGUACCUGCUGCUUUCAGUGGCAGAUAGAGUGCUCCUCGGCACCGCUGCCAGCCUGCGUGGAUUGUGUUCUCAAGUCUUCUCUACAGAAACCUUUCUCACAUUUCUGAAACAGAACGGUAAAUGCCUUCAAAUGCUUUUGGAAACCUCCAUGGGGAUGUUGGGAACUAAAACUCUUCUCCCACACUCUCCAUGAAACUUCUGAAGGUCUUUGAAAUCUUCCAGAAAUUACUGCUUUUUAAAGCACUGCUGGAAAUUGAGAGGUAAGCACCAGAAAGGCAGUGUGAGCAUGAACAUGGGGUAAAGCUGGCUGAAACGGUGUGGCACGUGGGACUGCACCUCUCCUUUGUGACAGGACUGGUGCUCCCUCAGUGCAUCAGGAAUUCAGUUCCCUGGUUAUCGUGAUGCCAGUCGUGGCCCUAUACUGAAAGGUACAAUCUUGUUCUGAAAGCUUCUAUGUGAAAAAUGCAUUGCGUCUUCCUCAGCAUUUUUGCGUGUGUGCUUUGAGUGGUUCUUGAGAGUUUACAAAUCAUUUGGUAAAUUUAACCCAAGAGCCAGCCUGCUGGAAACUUCAGCACCUUGUUCCAAGCGCUCCCAGCUCAUCCACUGAGAGAGGCAAAUCACGACUACAACUGGAACAGUAAUUUUUUUGAUUUAAUAUGAAAAUUAAUGGUUGCCUUUUCUUGUUGUGCUUUGGAACCAAAAGUUCUCCUUAGCAGGGAUUGCCAUUAGAAGUUCUUUUCCAGAGAAGCACAAAUAUAUAAUUGCCUUCUUUCAGUGUGUUUGCCAUCUCCUGUUGACUUGAGGUGCUAGUAAUCAGUGUCUUUCAACAAAACAGGCUGUAAGCUAUCCGAAACAAGCAUCUCCACUUUCUGGGUUCAUUCCCUUAGUUUUCUGGUUUGAGCAUAGGAAGCAUCACUGAAAUUUAUCGUAGCCAGAACCGCUCCAUGGGCAAGGCAAGGUAGUGAAGCAAGUUAUCCAUCAUAUAAGCAGGAGAACAUCAGCUUGAAGCACAAACACCAUCUUGGUGGGCAGCUCGUCCUCAGUCCUGGGACAGAAGGUUGUGACGGAGCAUGCCAAGAACAAUCCCUGGUUUUCUUGUCUCUGCGGAGAGCAGAUGAGGUGCCAGGCACUCGGGGAGAUAAAUACUAUUUUUGUGCAAGUUGCCUGGUAUAGCAGAGAACAGGACUUAAUGAGUCUCCACCUAGAGCCUGUUGGCAGAUGUAUGGGAUCUCACUUGGUUUUUUUGGUGGUUGGAGUGUCACAUAAAGGGUAUGCAGAGAGCAGCCUGGUGCUGGACAUUCCCACUAGUGAGACUGUUCUAGACCCAGGGACUGGACUCCCAUCAGCAGAGGCUGGUGUUGCAGGGUAAAGAAGCAGAGAUGUUACUUAAGUGCUUUCUGAGAGGUGACUUCAGAGGCUCUGCACAGUGCAGGUGAGCAGCCCCACACCUGUGUGAUUUUGGCAAGCCUUGGUGGUGAAACCAGCAUGACCAGCAGGUCGAGGGAGGGGAUUCUGCCCCUCUG